RNAcentral lists this unclassified non-coding RNA (231 nucleotides) under plant metagenome. RNAcentral's name for it is "partial contains small subunit ribosomal RNA and internal transcribed spacer 1". The stretch from base 1 to 46 matches the Rfam family "Eukaryotic small subunit ribosomal RNA", at positions 1786 to 1831 of the family's 1831-position model. The record is from RNAcentral.
AAGUCGUAACAAGGUUUCCGUAGGUGAACCUGCGGAAGGAUCAUUAAAGAGAUAGGGUCUUCAUGGCCCGACCUCCAACCCUCUGUUGUUAUAACUACCUUGUUGCUUUGGCGGGACCGUCUCGGUCUCCGAGCGCACUAACCCUCGGGUUGGUGAGCGCCCGCCGAUGGCCCCCAAUAAAACUCUGUAUAACCAUGUUUGUCUGAGUUCUUAAAUUAGAUUAAAACAAAA